This is a long non-coding RNA of Sarcophilus harrisii (Tasmanian devil), 1165 nucleotides long. RefSeq lists it as uncharacterized. NCBI's taxonomy places the organism in Eukaryota, Metazoa, Chordata, Mammalia, Dasyuromorphia, Dasyuridae. The record is from RefSeq and is a predicted model, not a curated record. The transcript has 3 exons.
UCAAAAAUGCCCUUUUUCACCCAUACAUAAUUCUUAAUUUGCCUUUUCACUUUUGCCAAUUGCUGGCUUUGUUCACAAAGACUGGUGCUUUCUUUCCUCCUCACAGUAUGUCCUGUGCUCCUACUGGAUGCUAUAGUGAAGUCAUAAUAGCAGGUGCACGUCACCAUCACUGUUUCCAUGGCAAUAGACUGAUGUCAGAAAUUGAUGUGGACUUCACUGCAGGAUCAAACAGCAAAAAAACCUAGGUGGCUCCUGUAUCACAACAUAUGGCGCCCAAAGUGGGACACAAGACAAGAAGAGCCAGCAGCAUUCAGAGCUUUUUGUGAGUAGGAUCCUCCUAGAGUUCCUUUGGUAACUCACAGGGAAGGAAAGGGAGAAAAGACCGGACCUGGAAGAAUGCCUCGAAUAUAUUAAGUGCUCAAUAAUGAAUAAAUGAUGACUGUUACAAAUAUUAGAAAAGUUGGCAUUCAGAGAAAUGAAUUGGCGUGUUCUGUGUUGUCCUAGAAGGGGUAAUCUACUGUGUCAAAAUCUGCAGACAGAAGCAAAUAGAAGCAAAACCAACCAAUAACUGCAAAGAGAACAACGGAAGUGUAUAAAAGUUAUAAGAAAGCAGUUUUUCACCUCAACACAAGAAAGAAUUUUCUAAAAAUCAGAAUUGUCCAGCAAUGGAACAAGUAAUCUCUUAGAGUAGUUAAGGUCUUCUUACAUAAGGAAUUUUUGAUCUGUCUACAAACCCAUCUUCAAAAUAAUGUUUUUAAACAUUAUUUUAAACAUAGGAUUACAAAGAAGUCAAUUAUAUUUAAAUAAAGAGGCAAUUUUUGCCCCAUUCAAGUUCACAGACAUCCUGAAAAUUAUACCAGGUUAAGAAUCUGGAAUCCAAUAAAUCCCGUCUGACCACUCAUCAAAAAUAUUAUAGAAAUAAAUCCUACAUGGAUGGGAGGUUAGACUAAAUAAUCUUCCAUUCUAAAGUUACACAGUACUUUGAUCCUAUUACAUAAGAGAGACUAUAAAUGUAUUAGCUAUCACCUUUUCCUUUAGUACCCCAGGGUACUCCCAACUCAUCUGACUCUCCAAACUGUUCCCCCUCCCCACUAAAUGCCUUGCUUGCCUUCUCCCCAACCUUUCUUUCCAGUUCCCCUUUCUAAUUUUUUUUCUUUCACUAUUA